RNAcentral lists this ribosomal RNA (497 nucleotides) under uncultured bacterium. RNAcentral's name for it is "partial 16S ribosomal RNA". It matches the Rfam family "Bacterial small subunit ribosomal RNA", at positions 28 to 507 of the family's 1533-position model. The record is from RNAcentral.
GAUGAACGCUGGCGGCGUGCCUAAUACAUGCCAGUCGAGCGAACGGACGAGAAGCUUGCUUUUCUGAUGUUAGCGGCGGGCGGGUGAGUAACACGUGGAUAACCUACCUAUAAGACUGGGAUAACUUCGGGAAACCGGAGCUAAUACCGGAUAAUAUUUUGAACCGCAUGGUUCAAAAGUGAAAGACGGUCUUGCUGUCACUUAUAGAUGGAUCCGCGCUGCAUUAGCUAGUUGGUAAGGUAACGGCUUACCAAGGCAACGAUGCAUAGCCGACCUGAGAGGGUGAUCGGCCACACUGGAACUGAGACACGGUCCAGACUCCUACGGGAGGCAGCAGUAGGGAAUCUUCCGCAAUGGGCGAAAGCCUGACGGAGCAACGCCGCGUGAGUGAUGAAGGUCUUCGGAUCGUAAAACUCUGUUAUUAGGGAAGAACAUAUGUGUAAGUAACUGUGCACAUCUUGACGGUACCUAAUCAGAAAGCCACGGCUAACUACGUG